UACGGGGGGAGCAAGCGUUGUUCGGAUUUACUGGGCGUAAAGGGCGCGUAGGCGGUCAGCACAAGUCAGUUGUGAAAUCUCCGGGCUUAACUCGGAAAGGUCAACUGAUACUGUGCGACUAGAGUGCGGAAGGGGCAACUGGAAUUCUUGGUGUAGCGGUGAAAUGCGUAGAUAUCAAGAGGAACACCUGCGGCGAAGACGGGUUGCUGGGCCGACACUGACGCUGAAGCGCGAAAGCCAGGGGAGCGAACGGG
Molecule: ribosomal RNA, 254 nt
Filed under: uncultured bacterium
Lineage: Bacteria
Description: partial 16S ribosomal RNA
Rfam family: Bacterial small subunit ribosomal RNA
Source: RNAcentral